RNAcentral lists this ribosomal RNA (460 nucleotides) under uncultured bacterium. Its description in RNAcentral is "partial 16S ribosomal RNA". It matches the Rfam family "Bacterial small subunit ribosomal RNA", at positions 338 to 795 of the family's 1533-position model. The record is from RNAcentral.
CCUACGGGAGGCAGCAGUGAGGAAUAUUGGUCAAUGGACGAGAGUCUGAACCAGCCAAGUAGCGUGAAGGAUGACUGCCCUAUGGGUUGUAAACUUCUUUUAUAUGGGAAUAAAAUGUUCCACGUGUGGGAUUUUGUAUGUACCAUAUGAAUAAGGAUCGGCUAACUCCGUGCCAGCAGCCGCGGUAAUACGGAGGAUCCGAGCGUUAUCCGGAUUUAUUGGGUUUAAAGGGAGCGUAGGUGGAUUGUCAAGUCAGUUGUGAAAGUUUGCGGCUCAACCGUAAAAUUGCAGUUGAAACUGGCAGUCUUGAGUACAGUAGAGGUGGGCGGAAUUCGGGGUGUAGCGGUGAAAUGCUUAGAUAUCACGAAGAACUCCGAUUGCGAAGGCAGUUCACUGGACUGCAACUGACACUGAGGCUCGAAAGUGUGGGUAUCAAACAGGAUUAGAUACCCCUGUAGUC